Molecule: ribosomal RNA, 389 nt
Filed under: Cardinium endosymbiont of Dermanyssus gallinae
Lineage: Bacteria; Pseudomonadati; Bacteroidota; Cytophagia; Cytophagales; Amoebophilaceae
Description: bacterial SSU rRNA
Rfam family: Bacterial small subunit ribosomal RNA
Source: RNAcentral
GGGCUCACCAAGGCUACGAUGGGUAGGGGUUCUAAGUGGAAGGUCCCCCACACUGGCACUGAGAUACGGGCCAGACUCCUACGGGAGGCAGCAGUAGGGAAUAUUGAUCAAUGGGCGCAAGCCUGAACCAGCCAUGCCGCGUGCAGGAUGAAGGCUCUCUGAGUUGUAAACUGCUUUUGUACAGGAGCAAAAAAACCCCUGAGGGGGUUCUUGAGAGUACUGUAAGAAUAAGCACCGGCUAAUUCCGUGCCAGCAGCCGCGGUAAUACGGGAGGUGCAAGCGUUAUCCGGUUUUAUUGGGUUUAAAGGGUGCGUAGGCGGCUUAUUAAGUCAGUUGUGAAAUCCUAGUGCUUAACGCUAGAACUGCGAUUGAUACUAUUAGGCUUGAGU